RNAcentral lists this unclassified non-coding RNA (266 nucleotides) under Salmonella enterica subsp. enterica serovar Amsterdam. Its description in RNAcentral is "partial 16S-23S ribosomal RNA intergenic spacer". The stretch from base 70 to 143 matches the Rfam family "tRNA". Lineage: Bacteria; Pseudomonadati; Pseudomonadota; Gammaproteobacteria; Enterobacterales; Enterobacteriaceae. The record is from RNAcentral.
CCUUAAAGAAGCGUACUUUGAAGUGCUCACACAGAUUGUCUGAUGAAAAACGAGCAGUAAAACCUCUACAGGCUUGUAGCUCAGGUGGUUAGAGCGCACCCCUGAUAAGGGUGAGGUCGGUGGUUCAAGUCCACUCAGGCCUACCAAAUUUUCCCUGAAUACUGCGUUGUGAAAUAACUCACAUACUGAUGUAUGCUUCGUUAUUCCACGCCUUGUCUCAGGAAAAAUUAUCGGUAAAGAGGUUCUGACUACACGAUGGGGCUAUA